CAGACCUAUGGCCUCUUGCUUCUCAAACCCAGGAGCAACACACACACAGUGCCGCAGUCUUUGUCUGACUGCUGUGAAAGUCCGAUGGCUCAGGAAUACUAAUCCCACUCGCAUGUCAUUUGGACGGACCAGAGGAGCAGCUAAUGGGGCAGGCGAGAUGAGGAGGAGACACUGUCGAUGGCUGUGUGGCAGUGUGUGUGAGUGGCAGAGUCCUCCCAGCCACAGAGAUAAAGAUUAGCAAAGGCCGAGCUGAACACAGAGGUCCAUUUACUGCACAUGGCACUGCACAUCAUCCCGCUACUGCUGCCAGUGAAAAACAGGCCUUCCACUUUGGGCAGAGUGAGACCUCAAUGGCAUGAUCAGGGGAUGGAGAGUGGAAGUGUGAUGAGAGAGGAGGAGUAAGAGAGAAAGAUAAAUGGGCUUAAUGGACUAUCAUGAAUGCAUUGGGCGGAGUCAUGCCAGUGUCACUCAUUCCACCCCCUCUGAAUGAUCUCUGACCUGUCCUUGACUGGAAUUGAAUCCCUGCUCUGAUCAUCUGCUGACCAUUAAACCAGCCUGAGCCAUGCCAAAUACCACAGCUGAUUCUUCAGGGCAGUGACGGACAUUGUAGGUACUCAUCAGCGAGUGAUAAUUCAACAGUAAAGGCUGCCACAGAAAAUGACCGUUUAUGAGUCCAAAACAGGGGGAGUCACUGUUUAAUAUUUCAUAUUCAUUAACAUUUGGAAGAAACUGUGAUUUAAAAGGGGGAAAAUCAAGUAUGAGAUUCUUUGGCAAAUGUUAAAAUGGUCCAGGAUUAAGCUGCUGUUAAUUAUUUAUGAACAUGAAUUUCACGAUUAUGGGUCUGACUGACGCACUGCAUUGAGCAGCUCCAAUUGAACACACAAUCAGUGGAUUUGAAAUAUGUCUCUGUUUCUCCAAGCUAAGUGUUAAGGCAUGAAUCAUUAAAUAUUUGCUGCAUUAAUUAUUCAGAUACGCCAAUUCUUAUUAGAAAAUAGGGUGAAGAAACUAAAAGUGUGUUAAAAUAAGACAGAAACAUCAUCUUGUCUAAGGGUCUGGAUGAAGUUAUUUGCUCUGGAGAUGUGUGUGUUCAGACUGUUUUGCUCCAUGUGCUGAAUCAGAGUCUUAUGGAAAGUGUGACCUGCUGCAGGGUGGGAUGGCUUCCUUGUUUUAUCUUUCAUUUUCUCAGCAUCCUUCCGUUAAAAGCUUCUAAAGAAUGAACUUGAUGAACUUCUUACAUUUUAGUUUGCAGCAGUUAUGCUCUUAACAAAACAGAAUCACCAUGAGGUACUGUAAUGUGUUUGUUCAGCAAGGAUUUUUUUUUAAUUAGUAUUGUAAUGUAUUUUGUUCAUUAAUUAGUUGAUUUUACAUUGAUUUUUAAUUUUAUAAUUUAACUUCCAAGCAAGGUUUUGUUAAGCCAACCAGUUUAAAUUGAUAAAAAUUUAUUUUCCUGUUACUGUGUCUAAACCCUCCUCUGACCAAUGCACAAUUAUUCACUGAAACUCAAUAGUUUUGGAUCCUGCAGCUUAAAUGUUCUGCACAUUUCUGACAGUCUUUUUGCAUAAGCAUGAUAUUAGUCAGAGGUGAACUGAGCUGAUCUUACCUUAUGAAAUCCCCUUCAUUACCAUUAUAUUAAACACUGGGCCAUUCACCAAAGUUUAGAGAGGCCAUAAUGUUCUGUCCUCGUGUUUGCCACUGAUUAAGGUUUUGAUUGAGUGAUUAAAAGCUUUCCUGUGGUUCUCCCUCCUGCUGACCUCUUGCUGUGGCGCUCUUGCUCAGAAAUCAUUUAAAUUUUCUCUAACUGUCAAGAGAGGCCCACUCGUUGCAUCAAGCCUCUUUCCUGAAUGGCUGCACACAUUAGCAUAGCGCACAUAACGAGCACUCUGACCCGAGAUGCACCCAAAAGGGGCUUUUAACGGUUAAGGCUUCACCUUUUAUCCAUAGAGAAGCUUGUAGUGCUAAACUAAACCACCCUGACCACUUUAACAGUUAAGUCACUCUGAAGUGGCGAUAAGGGCCGAGCAUUACAUAAAUUGUUAAAAGUGCUCUGGGUGAAGCACGGAUAUUUGUGUGCAUGUGGAAAAAAUGGGUGGAUCAGGUGGUGUAAUUGAUAAAAAAUAAAAAUAAAAAAUUACAGAGGUGAAAUUGCAUUUUAUGGCAAACAGCGUUGCUACGCUGGUUCUCAUUACACUGUCACAGAUGUGUAACACAGGGGCAGCUUUUGUGAGUUUCGGAUGCAUUGUGGUGUAAACAAAGACAUCUGUUCAGUGUUUAGAUUUGUAUGCUGAAAAAAAGCCUGAAAAAGCAGGCUGGUAAUACAGGAACAACAGUAUAUUGAUUAAUCCAUGACACUUGGUGAAUGUGUCACUAGAUGUGCUUCUGUUGUGUUAUGUAAACUGUUAUAUUUUAGGGUGCUAUAGUUGAAUUCAAUAAGAUUUUAAAGUGAAAUUAGGACCGUGUCCUAACUAGGUUUGAACCAGUUUCCACACAAUCACAGCCAAACAGAGCAAAUCUGGUGUUUAAUGCAGCAAAUGGAUAUGCGCUUUUGUUCUUACAAGAAUAGUUCACCUGAAAAUGAAAAUUAGCUGAAACGGUUGAAUUCUGAUGACUGGUGAGCAAGUAAUGUAAUCCUAAAUUUCUACAAAUCUGUCCCUAUUAAGAAACAAACUCAUCUACAUCUUGGAUGGCCUUAGGGUACAUUUUCAGUUUUGGGUGAAUUAUUCCUUUAAAAUGCAGAGAAACACAUUUCGAGUAAGUUGUUAGUAUCAAGUAACUUACAUUUUAGACACAAUAUGGCAGGUGCUUACGUUAUCUUACUUUUUUCCUCUGCCAAACCAAAUUAAUUCUAAAGAUCUGGUCACAUUAGUGAAAUUUUGUUGGGGGUAAAAAAAGGCCAUUGUCUGUUGUCAGUCAUGUAGUGAUGUACAAAGCACUUUCGAACCAAGCAGCUUUUGGUCAUCAUGGCAAAUUCACAUGCCCAAUGUGAAAUCUGUGUUGGGAAGACUUUAGCACUCACACGAAACUGGAUUUUGCCCAUGAGAAAAAUAGCUGAACAAUGUCAAUUCCAAACAAAGCUACAGCAUAAGAAAAUGUGCCGUCACAUUGUUGUUUUGCAGCUGAAAACAUUCAUUUCAAUAGGAAUCCACUAUACACAACUCAUUUAUUGCUUGUGCUACUGACAGAUAUUUGCUUUUGCAUGUUUAUAUGAAUGUAAGUCAUGGACAUAAAUGCAUGUAAAAUAUCACAUAGCUGUACCUCUCACUAAUUUGCCCUGCAGUGAACCCAGAGGCAGUGGAUAACAUGCCUCUUUCUCUGCGCUCUUGUCUUGUGAAUGAAUUUUAAUGGAAUGUGUGACUAGGAAGCAGUGUGGCGAUGGUCUGUGGAUAUGAAUUACAAACAUUUGACAUUGUAUUACAUGCAAUGUCUGUGACCUUCCGUGCAUAUUAAAAUACACCUGCAGUGCUUAACCAUGUGAAUAAUAAUUAUGACAGUUAUGUAAGCUGAAAUAAGGAGAUAAUUACUUUAGUGUUUUUUUAUUUAGACAGAGCAAUAUGUUUAGAUGCAUUUUUUUGUGAUUGGUGUAAGGUUACAUAGAUCCUUGUUAUCAAGUCAUGAUCUAACAACUGUGUAGCAGAUUCAUAUGUAUUGCUUUAUGUGAUCUGGAAUGCAUAGGCUAACCUUACUUGAUAUAUUUACACCUCUCAUUCUUUCUUUAUUUCUCUGCAUGUGGAUUUACUGAGGGCAUGUGAGAGGUCAGAGUAAGACACCAUAAUAAAGGAGAUGAAUAAUAGAACUGAUGGCUGCCGGUCAGGAGGGCAGGCCGGGCUAUUUUCUUGCCUCUCAUCGUCAGUCUCUCGAGCCAACACAUGACCAGGGCACCAGAGGUUAUGCUAACAACCUUUAAGUGCAGAUCCUCUGACUCCAGAGAAGCGGUCGCCCCUGCAGACAUCAGAUGUGAGGAAACAGUCAGAUAACAGCGAUUCAGCCUGUUAGGAACCUCCCGAAUGCGUUCCAGCAGAUUGUGGUCAGAUAAACAGUUCUCAGGGCAAAACUUCAAGCAGAGCACGCUCCUCGACGACCUCCUGAGGAGAGAAAAGAGGCGAGGAGAUGGGUUACUGCUUACACCUCCCAGUAUGGAGGCUGUUCUCUCAGUCUCUCCAUCCCGGCAUUGUUUUCAAUUUAGUUGUCUCCGUUCCUCAACGCGGCAGGCAGACAUGCUCUCCAGGGCAAGUAAGCUCACAUUACGUCUUGCUUUUCAAGAUCUUCCCCUGGUUUCAUGUUCUGUUAAGCCACAGGUAAAUGCUCGACACACCGCCGGGGUCCUCGGCAGAACGGCUGACCAGAGGAACAGCGCCCUAGCAGUUAAACAUAGGGAUUCACACUUGUCUGGUUCUGAGCUCGCUUCCAAUCUGGGUUUUGGAUACAAGUCAAAGAUAACAGCUGUACACGUUGAGGGAUCAGUGAACCCAGCUGACUCCCUGGCAGCCAGAACACCGGCAGGAACCAGCUCAUAAUUAGAAACGUUUUGGGUCAUCUUGAGGAGAAACGGAGAGAAGAGAGACAUGCAGGGAGAAUAAGAGUGACCUCCUCCUCCUCCUCUUCUUCUUCAAAGCAACACUUUUUAAAUUAUGCAGGCAGACUGGUGUGGGCUUACCUGCCCUGAGGAGCAGCAAUAUUUCAUACAAGAGGAAGCUUGUCAACAGCAGCAGGUUACAAGAAAGCCGAGGCGCUCUUGAUGGGGAAAAAAAUAAAUAGAAAGAGCAAAUGUUAAUGAAAGAAGGCGACAUUUGCUCCUUUGCUCAUUCCAUGUGAAUACAUGAUUUAUAGGGCUUUAUUGGUUUUAAUAUGGGAACCUUGAAGAACUACUUCAUUCAUUUAGACAUUUAUGCUCUGGAUGUAUGAACUCACUCUGUCACAAUUACAUAUGACAGUUCACUUGUUUGCUCUUUUUUUUACAUCUUGUAUGCAAUGAUUGUUACGGUAUACCUUAAAC
Molecule: long non-coding RNA, 4990 nt
Organism: Cyprinus carpio carpio
Lineage: Eukaryota; Metazoa; Chordata; Actinopteri; Cypriniformes; Cyprinidae
Source: Ensembl